UCUCUUUUGAAUCUUGAUGAGAUUACCUAUGUCCAAAAUAAGCAUCUCAAUGAGUAAAAUUUUUUGAGGGUCUCAAAUAUUGGACCUCUUGGAGAAUCGUUUGUUAAGAGAGAGAAAUGGGAAGGUCAGAUAUGCUCACAUGCCCAAGAUUCUGAUGUCUUGAUGACCUCAGUUGUAAUUGUAAUUAUCAGAUUCUCAGGGAUUCUCUUCUGACCACAGUUUCAAGGUCAAACUGGUAGUGAUGUUUAUAUGUCUUUUGUUGCUAGUGUCAUAUUAGCUCUGAAUAUGUUACAAGUUUACAACAAUAUGGUGCUUCCACUAAAGGUAUUUUCACUUAGAAUAACACCUGUGCUUUAUUUCGUCCAUAUAUAUAGUGAACUAUUGUGGUAAUACUUUCUAUUAAAAUUGUAAAUUAUUGUGUGUAUUGGUCCAUAGGAUUUGGGUGAAUACCAAUUUUUAAGAUCUGGGAUUAUCCCUAUUGAUGA
This 485-nucleotide long non-coding RNA is filed under the name Rosa chinensis. Its description in RNAcentral is "sRNA RchiOBHm_Chr2g0138851". Lineage: Eukaryota; Viridiplantae; Streptophyta; Magnoliopsida; Rosales; Rosaceae. The record is from RNAcentral.